This 494-nucleotide long non-coding RNA is filed under the name Nicotiana benthamiana. Its description in RNAcentral is "long non-coding RNA (NBEN_LNC005820)". Lineage: Eukaryota; Viridiplantae; Streptophyta; Magnoliopsida; Solanales; Solanaceae. The record is from RNAcentral.
UACUGUUGGAUUGAAUUUUGAACCUGACAAAUCGAUUUAAGAGACAAACGGUAAAAAAUUUGAGUGAGAUAAUCGAUUAUCAACACAAAAUAAUCGAUUAUGGAGCAUUUAUGUCCUGACAGAAAUCGAUGUUGGAGCCAAACGGUAACAAAGUUUAAACAGGAAAUAAUCGAUUGUCAAUAUUGGUAAUCGAUUAUUAUUGAAAUAUGGUUGAUACAGAAGUUUAAUCAAGAAAUAAUCGAUUGUCAAUUUUGGUAAUCGAUUAUUAUUGACAUAUGGUUGAUACAGAGAACUCGGAGAAUUUCUGAAUGUGACAAAUAAUCGAUUAUAGGAAUAAAUAAUCGAUUGCCUGGAAAGGUAUUGCUGAAUGACUGAGACAGAAAUCGAUUAUGCAAUAUAAGGAGUUAAAAAAUUAAACACAUUUGCAUAAUAAAACUAAUCAGUCAAAAUAAUCGAUUAUUGAUACUGAUAAUCGAUGUACUGCACAGUAGAUA